GAUCCUGACUCAGAUUGAACGCUGGCGGCAGGCCUAACACAUGCAAGUCGAACGGUAACAGGAAGAAGCUUGCUUCUUUGCUGACGAGUGGCGGACGGGUGAGUAAUGUCUGGGAAACUGCCUGAUGGAGGGGGAUAACUACUGGAAACGGCAGCUAAUACCGCAUAAUGUCGCAAGACCAAAGAGGGGGACCUUCGGGCCUCUUGCCAUCGGAUGUGCCCAGAUGGGAUUAGCUAGUAGGG
RNAcentral lists this ribosomal RNA (242 nucleotides) under uncultured bacterium. RNAcentral describes it as "partial 16S ribosomal RNA". It matches the Rfam family "Bacterial small subunit ribosomal RNA", at positions 15 to 253 of the family's 1533-position model. The record is from RNAcentral.